CAGCUAUGAUGAAUAUUCAACUGUGACCGGAGACUUGUCGUCAGUGACGGUUCACAACCCUCUAAGAAGUUCUGAGCGC
This is a small nucleolar RNA of Salvia hispanica, 79 nucleotides long. RefSeq annotates it as small nucleolar RNA U61. The record is from RefSeq and is a predicted model, not a curated record. NCBI's taxonomy places the organism in Eukaryota, Viridiplantae, Streptophyta, Magnoliopsida, Lamiales, Lamiaceae.